AAAUCCUUCGCCCUGCAUGUAUCUCACUCUCUCACAUGUGAAUGACACAUCAGAUACAUGUUAGUUGCCACGUCAUAAUCGAUUUCAAUAAUUAUAAAUUUAAUUAAAGAAAUUUAAAAAAAUAAGAAUGAAAAAAACUUCUCUUAUCAUUCAAUUGGCCCUCAAAAUUCAAGACAGAAAGAUGUACAACUUGCAAUUGAAGAUCACCAAAAACACCAAAAUUCGUCACAACUCAUUUUGUAUUUUCCAUUAUUAUUCUCUUUGCGCGGUCAUUGACGCUCUUUCCCUCAUUCAUUUGAAUUUAUGAAAUAAAGCAUUUUAAUCCAGUAACCAGAACCCACAAAGACACCCAAAAACAAAUCUCCAAACUUAUGGGAAAAUUUAAGAAUUCAAAUAGAAUAACCUAUUUUAUUUUUUUCUUUUGGAAUAUAAGGCAAAAUCAAUCAAACCCCACUAUAAGUAAUCCUGAAGCACACACAAAAUACAUAAAUUCAAAUUAGACAAUCGGUUUUCUUUUUAGAAAGAUAACAAAUUGAAAUAAACAGCAGAAGACUGUUUGGUUGCUCAAAUUUGAACAGUUGAACAGUAAAAUGAGGAAAACCCAUAAAAAAGAAAUAUUUAUUUAAUUAAGAAUUUGAC
RNAcentral lists this long non-coding RNA (639 nucleotides) under Nicotiana benthamiana. RNAcentral's name for it is "long non-coding RNA (NBEN_LNC036757)". The record is from RNAcentral. Lineage: Eukaryota; Viridiplantae; Streptophyta; Magnoliopsida; Solanales; Solanaceae.